CGGGGGCUAGGUUAAGUAAAACUUUGGGUUUCCAAAACCUGAGAUGGGAAAAGUUUCUCGUUCCUGG
Molecule: transfer RNA, 67 nt
Filed under: Mimachlamys nobilis (noble scallop)
Lineage: Eukaryota; Metazoa; Mollusca; Bivalvia; Pectinida; Pectinidae
Description: tRNA-Trp
Source: RNAcentral